RNAcentral lists this ribosomal RNA (405 nucleotides) under uncultured bacterium. RNAcentral describes it as "bacterial SSU rRNA". It matches the Rfam family "Bacterial small subunit ribosomal RNA", at positions 354 to 775 of the family's 1533-position model. The record is from RNAcentral.
AUCAGGGAUCUUGCGCAAUGGGCGAAAGCCUGACGCAGCGACGCCGCGUGGGUGAAGAAGUCCCUCGGGAUGUAAAGCCCUUUUCGAGAGGAAGAUGAUGACGGUACUCUCGGAAUAAGCCCCGGCUAACUACGUGCCAGCAGCCGCGGUAAUACGUAGGGGGCGAGCGUUGUCCGGAAUUACUGGGCGUAAAGGGCGCGUAGGCGGCGCGUCAAGUCCUCUGUGAAAGCCCGAGGCUCAACCUCGGAGGGACAGGGGAGACUGGCGUGCUUGGGGUCUUGGAGAGGAGUGCGGAAUCCCUGGUGUAGCGGUGGAAUGCGUAGAGAUCAGGGGGAACACCGAUGGCGAAGGCAGCACUCUGGCCAAAGACCGACGCUGAGGCGCGAAAGCUGGGGGAGCGAACGG